CCUACGGGAGGCAGCAGUCGAGAAUCAUUCACAAUGGGGGAAACCCUGAUGGUGCGACGCCGCGUGGGGGAAUGAAGGUCUUCGGAUUGUAAACCCCUGUCAUGUGGGAGCAAAUUAAAAAGAUAGUACCACAAGAGGAAGAGACGGCUAACUCUGUGCCAGCAGCCGCGGUAAUACAGAGGUCUCAAGCGUUGUUCGGAAUCACUGGGCGUAAAGGGUGCGUAGGCGGUUUCGUAAGUCGUGUGUGAAAGGCGCGGGCUCAACCCGCGGACGGCACAUGAUACUGCGAGACUAGAGUAAUGGAGGGGGAGCCGGAAUUCUCGGUGUAGCAGUGAAAUGCGUAGAUAUCGAGAGGAACACUCGUUGCGAAGGCGGGUUCCUGGACAUUAACUGACGCUGAGGCACGAAGGCCAGGGUAGCGAAAGGGAUUAGAUACCCUUGUAGUC
Molecule: ribosomal RNA, 446 nt
Filed under: uncultured bacterium
Lineage: Bacteria
Description: partial 16S ribosomal RNA
Rfam family: Bacterial small subunit ribosomal RNA
Source: RNAcentral